Molecule: ribosomal RNA, 358 nt
Filed under: uncultured bacterium
Lineage: Bacteria
Description: bacterial SSU rRNA
Rfam family: Bacterial small subunit ribosomal RNA
Source: RNAcentral
AUCGAACGCUGGCGGCAGGCCUAACACAUGCAAGUCGAGCGGUAGAGAGGUGCUUGCAUCUCUUGAGAGCGGCGGACGGGUGAGUAAUGCCUAGGAAUCUGCCUAGUGGUGGGGGAUAACGUUCGGAAACGGACGCUAAUACCGCAUACGUCCUACGGGAGAAAGCGGGGGGAUCUUCGGACCUCGCGCCAUUAGAUGAGCCUAGGUCGGAUUAGCUAGUUGGUGAGGUAAUGGCUCACCAAGGCGACGAUCCGUAACUGGUCUGAGAGGAUGAUCAGUCACACUGGAACUGAGACACGGUCCAGACUCCUACGGGAGGCAGCAGUGGGGAAUAUUGGACAAUGGGCGAAAGCCUGAU